GGCUCACCGGGAGGUCUUGAAAUGGGGAUUGGGCGAAGGGGGGGGGAUUCCCGGUAGGGGAAAUGGUAGAAUUGGGGAACCCGUGGGAAGGGGUUUUGGUUGUAACGAGGUGGGGCGAAACGUGGGGCAACAGGUUGAUACCUGGUGUCCCCCGUAACGAUGGGCUAAUUUGGGGGAUCCCCCUUUGUGUGUGCUACCCAUAACACUCGCCUGGGAGUCGCUGCAAGAGGAACUCAAGGAAUGACGGGGCCGCACAACGGGGAGCAUUGGUUAAUUGAAGCACGCGAAGACCUUACCGGUCUGACAUCCCUGACACCCGAGAGAUCGGGCGUCCUCUUCGGGGACAGGUGACAGGUGUGCAUGUUGUCGUCAGCUCGUGUCGUGAGAUGUGGGUUAGUCCCGCAACGAGCGAACCCUCGACCUUAGUGCCAGCAUCAGUUGGCACUCUAAGGUGACUGCCGGCUAAAAGUCGGAGGAAGGUGGGGAUGACGUCAAAUCAUCAUGCCCCUUAUGACCUGGGCUACACACGUGCUACAAUGGGCGGUACAAAGGGUCGCGAACCCGCGAGGGGGAGCCAAUCCCAAAAAGCCGCUCUCAGUUCGGAUUGCAGGCUGCAACUCGCCUGCAUGAAGCCGGAAUCGCUAGUAAUCGCGGAUCAGCAUGCCGCGGUGAAUACGUUCCCGGGCCUUGUACACACCGCCCGUCACACCACGAGAGUUGGGGCACCCGAAGUCGGUGAGGUAACCCUUA
RNAcentral lists this ribosomal RNA (750 nucleotides) under thermophilic bacterium D455. RNAcentral's name for it is "bacterial SSU rRNA". The stretch from base 212 to 750 matches the Rfam family "Bacterial small subunit ribosomal RNA", at positions 874 to 1444 of the family's 1533-position model. Lineage: Bacteria; Bacillati; Bacillota; Bacilli; Caryophanales; Bacillaceae. The record is from RNAcentral.